RNAcentral lists this long non-coding RNA (563 nucleotides) under Chinchilla lanigera (long-tailed chinchilla). RNAcentral describes it as "lncRNA (ENSCLAG00000026052.1)". The record is from RNAcentral. Lineage: Eukaryota; Metazoa; Chordata; Mammalia; Rodentia; Chinchillidae.
CGGGCCUUCCCGAGGCCCUCGGUCUGCAGAGCCCCGCCGGGAGGCCGGCGCCCCAGGACAGCGAGGAGGGCCCGGGGGUAGGGGGACUCCGACCUCCUCGGUCUUGGGGUUCGUUGUUUCUCACAGACAGCGAAGUCACCGAGGCCAGAGACCGACAAAGCGAAGUAGAAGAGGAGAAGCCGAAUUUAAUCUGUCCCAAAGGAGGAAGCGUGAUCAGCUGAGCACCGCUCUAUUCCCGGGGCCACACUGCAAACUCACACUGCGUGGCCCUCUCUGCCCCCAGGUGGGGGUCGGUCUCCUUCAUGGCUCCACUUUGCAGAUGAGGACGCUGAGGCACGUGAAGGAUGAAGGAAAAGAUGAAAAGCAAAAGGAGAACAUAGCAGAGGAUGCUAGAACUGGGAGAUCUGGUGCACGGUCAGUUAAUCCGCUUUCUCUCAUUUUGUUUCGUUAAGGGCUGAAGCAGGUGGCUCUUGCUGUAGGAAUGAGAGGUUCCCAAUUGCAUCUAGGUGGGAAUCAAGCCUCCAUUUUUUCCCUGGAUAUUCCAUUAACUUUGCAGGUUUUCU